Molecule: ribosomal RNA, 253 nt
Filed under: uncultured bacterium
Lineage: Bacteria
Description: partial 16S ribosomal RNA
Rfam family: Bacterial small subunit ribosomal RNA
Source: RNAcentral
UACGUAGGGUCCGAGCGUUGUCCGGAAUUAUUGGGCGUAAAGGGCUCGUAGGCGGUUUGUCGCGUCGGGAGUGAAAACCCACAGCUCAACUGUGGGCUUGCGGUCGAUACGGGCAGGCUAGAGUUCGGUAGGGGAGACUGGAAUUCCCGGUGUAGCGGUGAAAUGCGCAGAUAUCGGGAGGAACACCAAUGGCGAAGGCAGCUCGCUGGGACGUGACUGACGCUGAGACGCGAAAGCGUGGGGAGCAAACAGG